Long non-coding RNA from Gallus gallus (chicken), 13130 nucleotides. RefSeq lists it as uncharacterized. NCBI's taxonomy places the organism in Eukaryota, Metazoa, Chordata, Aves, Galliformes, Phasianidae. The record is from RefSeq and is a predicted model, not a curated record. The transcript is spliced from 3 exons.
UGUAAGGUUUGGCAGGAACCAAAAGUGAUGCCUUCCUCCGGUGAUGAGCCAGAUAAUAAGGAAAAGGAUGCAGCGAGCUGUAUUAAAACAGUUUGAAGAUUUGUUACUGUAGCAUUCACAACGUACAACGACGUCUGGUAUUUCACCUACUGAGGAAAUGAAGGUUACUGACACUUACCAACGGCAAGAAGAAGAAUACUGGCUACAAAGCAGCCUGCACCUACGCUGAGGUAAUAUACACCAACGCGCAUUUCUGCUGGCCAAAGUGGAAACAGAGUUGCAGCUAUAACAGCAAUCACUAAAUAGAAAGAUAAGAAGAAAAGUGUGAGAAACAUAAUUAGUUCUUCCUGACAUAUAUAUGAAGGUUCUAGGCUUACCAUUAUUCAAGGUACUGGCUUAGCAACCUAUGAGUUAGGUAAUACUGUUCUUUGCCUUGACUGAAACCUUUUCUAGUCCUGCUGCUGCUUUCAUUAUGGGUAGACAGACAUCUAGGAUAGUACCACAUUCAGAAGUACUUGAUCACCAGAGAGAAUGCUUCUGAAAAGGCAAAAAGGCGAGCAGCGAGCUGCCAGUAACCUGCCCAGCAGGAAGCAGUCAGUGAGCUCAGUGCAGUCCUUGGGCACCACCAACUGAUCAGAGAGCUGAAUGCAGCCCCAGGGAAUGACACUUGAAUCAGCUCUCAGCUGUGAAAAGCUCAAAGGUACAGGCUGGGGCGCUGGACUAGCAGCACCAUUAGCUGUGAGCUCACUGAUGUGAGUUAACAUCAAGAUUACAUUCAAUUAAAAAAAAUAGUUGAUUUGGCCUAAACUACACAAACAAAAGGCCAAGGGUCAGAAAGGUAUUAUUUAUAGUUUAAAAUAAUGGCUUUACUAUAUUUCACAUUUUUAUAUAAUCCACAAGUUGCCGAUGAGGCAACGUACUCAUUAGUUUACAGUGACUGAAAUAAACAGCCUGCAGCCUUGUGCAAAUUCAGACAUUUUCUAAAGCAUGUUUCAGCCAUGUCCUCUUCUGUAUUUUUUUAUUUUAUUUGCAAGUGCCCUCCCUCCAGCCCGAGAUCAAACCUCACGUAAUGUGACUGCUGUCAAAUCAUGCUAAAAUGGAACAAAAAAUGUUUUGUCUACAAAGAAGAUAAAUUUCUCCAAGGAGAGAUGCUCCUGUUUGGUAGUACACCUGCAUUUAUGGUUGUUUCCUAACGUCUGCUCUUACUUACCAAGUACAAGUCCCAUGGCAAAUGUUUUAAAGUGAACAGGGUCAUAGAUCCACACAUACACCUACAACAGAAAUAAUGUUUAACACUUGGAAAAAAAGCUGACACAGGACUUUUUUCCCCUCACUCAAAUUCGUAGUGCCACCCUAUGCUGCUUUGCACUGAACAAAUGGCACUUCAGUCAGUACCAGAGGAAGCACUACACUUUGAAUAGCACUUGAAACACGUUUGUGUCAGUGAGAAAGCUGCCAUAAGAGACAAACAGCCACAGGGCUGCAUGCCUGCAUGCCCAUACUGAUUGCCUCCGGUAUGUACUGAUCAUAAUCUGAGCCUGAGGGCAGGAGCCAAAGGUACUGUGCAGUGCAGUGGCUGUGGAAGGUUCCUGCUGGGAGGGAAUGCAUUUCUGGGCUGGCUAAGAAAAACAUGGGAAGUUUCAAAACGCAUCUGUUGAAGAAUUACUUCAUGAAAUAAGUUAUUACCCAGUUAUAUAAACCGGGUUCCAACAGUAAAACCGACGGGGAAAUGCAAGAGUCAGAGUAUUAUUGAAUCAAGGUGAUUUUUCAUGUAUUUUUGUUUUUCCAUUAUUCAUCAGUAUUGCUCAGCAUGAAGCACAGAAAAAGUUUUGUAAAAAUAAAAAAAUUUCUCAAGUCUGCCAAAUAAAAAAAUAAAUUGCUUCUGGCUUUGAAGAGAUUCCUUUAAGAGGAAAAAGAAAUAGAAAACCACCACCAACAACCAAGCAAGACGUAUGGAACAAAGCAUCAAGCUGCAAUGCUCAAUUCAGCUCAAGUCCCAUCUGAUGGCCUCAACCACAUACAUUUGCACCCUCUGCCACAGUAUGCUUAUUUAAAUGUCUACAGUUGCAACACUCAAUACCAAAUGUUUGUGUGAGGAUUUUGGCUCCAUCUGAACCAAGUAGUUCAAGCCCUAGGAAAGAUGCUUCCUGCUAGUUUUCUGAACUUGCUAGUUUUCUGAACUUUUCUGAACACAAUUAAUCUUAUUUUUAUUCUCCAACGAAACUGUUUUCACAGUUUCGAUGCAAAGAAGCAGCCAAGUACUGGAUGUAAAGUACCCGAAGGUCACCUAAGAAGAGGCAAUACAACUUUCAGUGAUGCAACAUGAAGUAUUUAAUAUUCUGCUUCACUUCACGGCCCAAAACAUAAACUACUGGGAAUUAUGUUUUCUAUUAGACAUCUAAUCUCUAAUCUCCUUGCAGAUACCUAAAAUUUGAUGUUGCAAGAUCAGCCAUCACAUUAUCAUUAUUUCUUCAUUCAACAGGACAAGACAGAGUCUGUGGAAUUUCAGUAAAUUACCUGACAAUAAUACACUGACAUUAAAUUUAGGAAGUACCCAUAAAUCUUACCUCGUUUCCAUCCAAGAAAACUUGGUCUUCGUGUGGCUCAAGCUUAAAUUUCCUCUUAGUUUCCUUUUUUUUUGGCGUUCCUGGGGUCUCAUCCUGAGGACAAACACAAACCAUACAUAAAAAACACAUACAGGGUCUUAAUUUCUACUAUUUGAAUGUAUUGAAUCUGACAACUUUUCACAAACUUAAAGUAUCAAAUGUGAUCAUAACUAAAGAUGUUUUAUUUCCUCCUGUUCUCCUGGGUAGCUAAAGAUAAAGGAAUAUUGUAAGGACAGAGAAAUUUUAUUUUACAUGCUAUAUAAAGACAAAGACUAUAACCCCAGGAUUGCAUUAUGUGUUCAAAUGCAUAUCAUAGCUCCACUGACAUUAACAUAGUCUGCAUAGAGACCACCAACUCUCUUGCAAUUCUUUGGUAGCUUGGUGCCACAUUUACCACAUGGACAUCUUUCAGAAUCAAUUUCUGCCAUUUUAUUCUCUACCCUCCUCAAUUCCUUUCAGAUCUUGUGCCUGUCUCCUGUCUCCUUUCUCUUUGCUAGAAAUUAGCUUUCUAAUUUUUGCCCUCUGUUACGUUAGCAUCCGCUGGCUUAUAUCAGCUACUAAAAUAUCAGUUUGAUAAUUAAUGAUUAAAGAUUAACAUUUAAUAAUGUAACACUUCAGAUAACAGGGAACCGGAGGAGUCCAUAACUUUCAGUAUCAGCAUUUUAAGGUAUCUCAAGAGUUAGAUAGCCUUAUAUUGGCUUCUUUGUUUAGAUUGCCAGCAGGUUUGUUUUAAUUCCUUUAUUGGCCAUGUAACUUUCUUCUGAGAUCCAGACCUCUGCACAGGCAGACUAUGCCUUUAAUUGUGUGCCAUUACCUCACUUCAGAGUGUUGGAGCUGGACUAACUUCUGAGGCUAUCCUACCAACUCUUGCUGGAUUCAACCACUGAACACAUAACAAAACACACCCGUCUUCAUCGAGUGUCAACUGUAAAGAAAGUAAAUGAGAGGUCUGUGAAGACUAAGCACUACGCAGAUUACAAAUGGAUCUCCCUUACACCAACAUGGCCCACUACUACAGAACUAUUCACAAGCACCAAGUAUCACAUCCCAGACCUUCUUACCACCAAACAUGGCAAAAAAGCUUGUUUGUUUUAUGUGUGCAGCUGCACUGCUUGGAGAUGUUAGGUCACAUACACACAUGUCAAUCUAUGCUAGAGUACACUUGCACAAAGCAUCAGUGCCCACUGAAGCUGAACAGAAGCAGUUUUUUAUUAACUCAGCCCACGUUACAAGGUGAUGAGGUACACAGAGACACAAAUGAAGCAUCUGCUUUGAUCUGAAUCAGAACUGGAACUCCAAAAUGUAAAAAGGUGUAUUUUAGAGACUAAGAUUGGCAAAAAAAAGAAAAAAAAAAAAAACAUCUCACGCUUUGGAACAACCAACCAAAUUUUUAAGCCCACGUAACCUUCACAUCAUCACUGUCUUCUCUGUUGACAGGAUUGUCUCUUUUCUCCAAGACCUCACUUACCUUCUUACACUCUUCUUUUUCACCAUCCUUUUUCUUUUCUUUCUCCUUCUUAGUUUUCUCAUCUUUGCUGCUUUCCUUCUUGCUUUUCUUCUCUUCUUCUUUCCCACUCUCAGCCUUUCCUUUUUCCUUUUCUUUCUUUGUAUCCUUGUCAGGUUUCAUUUUCAUCACUUUUAAUGCUCGAUGAAAGAACUGUUUUUUCAGGAGUCUUAAAAUGAAAGAAGUGAAAUGACAUAUAUAAGUGUUGCUGGAAUAAUUAUGCUUACAUGCAAUUACAUUAUUAGAUACCAGUCUAGAUUACCUAUUGAAGAUAAUCAUGUAAAGCAUAACUGAACGACAGUGAUCACCAUCGUGAACUACCACGUCUCAUCUCUUGCUUGGCUCUUUUUCACCUGUUCAAAACUUAAUAAAACCCAAACUGUUCUGUGGCUGUAUUUUGAACAGAUAUAAAAGAAUAUAUGAGAUGUAGGGAUGUAGGAAGGAGAAAGCCAUCAGGCCAAUUUAAUUAGCUUUCCCAUUAAUCCAAUGCUAUUUGCAAGUCCAGGCCAGUGUAUUUUGUUGCAAAAAUAAGAAAGUGGACAUACAGCUCAUAAAGGUCUUGGUAGGAGAUGCAUGUUGAAUAAAAGUACCAUUGGAACUGUGGCACUUGUGCAAGCAUUCCAGUCAUGUCAGCUACAAACAUACCUUACAGCAUGAACAUACUCAGCUGGCUGGGCCAAAGGAGGUGGUACUUGGCAGUGUUGAAGUUGUCACCAACAAGUAAUGUCCGCAACAGGACCAUACCCAAAUUCCAUGCAGGAAGAGCAGAAUACUGCUCUUCAGACUGAGGGCAAGCAUUGAUGUAUGAAAUCCAAGGGCCAAUUCACCUCAAAAAACCUGGCCCUAUACAUCAGAUUGAUUUGUACUUGGUUUCUUUCAUCUCUUGCUGCAGAUCAAGUCCUUAUGCUGGACUGCUUAUUAAAUUAGGUAAACUGACUGCCCUGAGCAGUGGCAACUCCCCCAGCUUUAUCAUUCAACAUGAUGCUGUGUGUAUAGAACAUCCCUUUGGCCAGUUUGGGUCAGCUGUGCUGGCUGUGUCACCUCCCAGCUCCUGUGCACCCCCAGCUCCUCGCUGGUAGGGCAGCAUGAGGAUCUGACAUGUCCUUGGUUCUGUGCAGCACUGCUCUGCAACAACUAAAACAUCAGGGUGUUAUCAGCACAAUUCUCAUCUUAAAUCCAAAACACAGCACCGUACCAGCUACUAUAAUCUCUAUCCCAGACAACAGCAGGACAUGGGUAUAUUUAAAUAGAAAAAAACCAAACAACAGCAAAAAGAAACCUUCCUUCAGACAACUGUUUAUGUAGUUUCUAGCAGCAGAAAAUCACUUUCUUGGGAGCAACUAUUUUCUUCACAGCUGUAUGUUUAGGUUGGCUCAGGUACCAAGCAGCCCACAGGUAUGGCCUUCAGGGCAGCUCUUUCCCAACCUCUCAGCUCUCUUUAGAUCUGCUGAAUGCAGCAUUAUUGCUGUAGUUUAUCUGUACCAAAUCCCCCGAUAGGAAAACUUCCUGAACUAAGAUCAAUAUGUUAAGUGCACCAGGAGACCUUAUGCACUGGAGCAGUAUAAUGAAUUCAGACAGUAAAGUGUUUUAAAUAUGGAACUACUCAAUGCAGUUGACACAGGAUGAGGGAGCAGAACCUGAUCCUUGCUUUCUGUUGGACAGGACAGGCAAAACAAUCGCAAUAGCUACACCAAGAGAGUUAAGGUACUUGCUUUUAAUAUAAGUGCCUAAACAACCUUAUCUUGAAGAGACUACAGGGUAACAUUCAAAACCCUGAGAGCAGUUUUGAUGGCCAAAGGUGGUCUUAUCAUUAUCAGUGAUGUAGGAGUAUGCAAGAGAAACCGAGUUGCAGCCAUGGUAUGGUGCCCAGCGGAUCAUCGGUGCACCAAGUGAUACUGGUGGCAAAAAGCAGAGAGCAGAGGGUCAAAUCUGUUUUAUUUGCAUGCUAUGUAGGCAUUCAUUUCACUGCAUUGGACUUAGCCAACUGCUGUCUCACCUGAGGCUUUAGUAAUCAAAGAACAAAUGUACAGGCACUUACCUCAGUCCAAAGAUUCUCGAAAGGAAGACUUAUUUUUCUGCUUGCAUUAAAAUAAUGCUUGUAUUUUUCUAUGUUUUCUUAAAAAAGUCAGCACAGGGAUUAAAGUUCACUGAACCAGCUCUGCCUCAGCCCUAGAAUUGAGGGCAGAAUCUCACCUUGCUGGAUGGCUAUGUAGAAGAGGCCCCAAGAACAGACUAAGUAUUAGCCAUAAUCUUAAUUUCUAAGUGGCUUUUGCAGAGCUCAUCAAGAGUAAGAUGCAGCCCCAAAAAAGGGCAGAAGAGUCAGAAUAUGCUGCUCAUCUAAACAAAGCACUCUGAGUACGCUAAGCGACAGAGACAUACCACACGAGAGGCAUAGCAAGAACCUCAAAGUUCUGCUUUUGCCAUCGUGGCAGACACAGGAAGGAGAUGUGAGAACUCUGAUCCUACGUACUUAAAAUAACUUCAGAAUUUAGGAAAACUUGCUGCACCAAGCAGCUUAAUGAAAGCAUGAGAGAGCUCUGAAACAAAGAUGAUGAAACUAUGUUGUGUCUCUUUCUCAUCUUACACCCUCAAACAUAGUAAUAAAAAUACAGUCUUUAUUUUUACGUAGUAACACAGAUGUCUUAGAGUGCAUGAAUUCCUUUCAUCAAAGCAGCCUAAGCAAGAGUGGUUCUACAUAACUGAGACAUCUUGACAACUAUACUCAUUAUUAAAAUUGAUGAAUUAGGUCAUACCUGUUGCAGUAGUCAACUACAGACUCUCGAGUUGUAAAUAAAGCUUCCUCUCCUUUCUUGGCCUUUGCCCACUUAGAAUCCAGGAGGCAAUCCACAGCUUUUGAGGCUAGAGGAAAAAGUGAGAAAAAAUCCCCAAACAUUAAACAUUUAUUUUACCACCGUCCACACUCCUUGAACCACACCACGCCAGUCAGUCUAUCCCAGUGAUGUUUCGUACCCUCUCCAUUUUUAAGGUAAACAAAUGGGUACUGUUCUGAAGUACUUGACAACUACCUUCUUCUAAACCACAGAGUGUAAAGUUAAUUGUGUUUAUGUCAGAUCUGAUUAAUUUUACAGCUAUCAAAUGCCUAGAUAAGAUAAGAACCAUACUGUAAGACCAAGACUUGCUAGAUAAAGGACUAAUAAUGAAAACAAAACCCCUCCUCCCCAGUACAGUGUUAACAGAAGCAGUACCAUUCUCUGGUUAAAAGUAACCCUACCAAUAAAGUAAUCCACUCGGUGGCCCAUCAUGUUGGUGGAUUUUGUCGGGCAGUUGAACCGUAAGUAUUUGGCAACAGCCUUCUCCUCUUUGAAUGGCUCACCCACCUCCUGCAACAGUAAAGGUGCAAAAUUAAUACUGGUUUAAACACGCAGAAAACGCUCGUUUGGGCUCAAAAAUCAGAAAUGGCAACAUCCUUGUUAUCUUAUGGCAGUGAUCCAGAGCUGAUGACUGUGAACUCAUUUAGCAGCUGUAGAAAGGACACGUUAAAGGAGGGACUAAGAGGCACGUACUGGGCACCUGGCAAAUGGGAAGCUGCUUACGAGGCUGGAUGAAAACAGUGGUGAAGCUGAGAGCAAAGGAAACCAACAGAGAGGAAUUAGUAUGUAUGAAAUGACAGCAACACAGGCGUAUCGACAGAACACAAAGCAGCUCAUCUUUCAUGUGAAGGAGGGGGGAAAACCACGUUGAAAAGAAGUAGAAACAUUUCUGCAGAAGUUUUCAGUAUUACUGCAUGACUACAAAAUGACAAACUUCAGAGCAGCAUCCAGGAGAUUCUGUGAAUCUAGGUGCUGGGAACAGCACGAUACAGCACGGCAUGAAGCACACGGAACUCCCAGACACACACUUUAGGAAAAGGGAGCCCUGUGAAAUGGAAACGCAAAGACAAGCAGAUGCUGCUACGCCAAAAUACAAACUUCAGACAGUGAGAGCUGUUAAUUUUCAACAGUUUGCACAGCUAACUUUCCAAGUCAACUGGUUAAUUAAUGACCCUCCUAGCAGAGAUCCCUGCUCUCCCUAUCUUUUUGCAAGAACAGGUUCAACAGACCUCCAAACUACCAGAAGCACUCUGUGGUUUGUUUCACCUGAGACUACUAUUUCAAGCUCAGUAAAACCUGUGUGAAACCCAUCCAGAUGAUCCUAACAGCACCCAUCCAGAUGCACUUUGUCCUUUCUCUGUGAUUUUACAAGUCUGUAUGAAACAUCAGGCAGCUCAUGGGAGGUUUCGGUUAGAUAUUAGGAGGAAGUUUUUCACCCAGAGGGUGGUGACGCACUGGAACAGCUUACCCAAGGAGGCUGUGGGUGCCCCAUCCCUGGAGGCAUUCAAGGCCAGGCUGGAUGUGGCUCUGGGCAGCCUGGGCUGCUGGUUGGCGACCCUGCACAUAGCAGGGGGUUGAAACGAGAUGGUCAAUGAGGUCCUUUUCAACCCAGGCCAUUCUUUGAUGCUAUGGUUAUUCACCAAUUGGCAGUGCACGUAUGUACAUAAUUGACGUACAGUGAUUUGAUGUCCCCAUGUACGGUACAGCUGUACCAGUAACUGUAAUUCACCAAUUACCUUACCAAUUUUAGUCCUAGACCACAUCUGAUUUAAUAGCAACAAAAUAAAUUCCUGGACAUUUAAAGAAAAUGAAUGAGCGUGUGCCAUGCCUGGUGCACAGAGCACACCAAGGUGCCAUGGAUACCAAUGACUAAACGCAGCAACUGCAUUUCAGAACAACACUUUUCCAACAGUUCCAACCAGCUGGUUACUCUUACAGCAACGAUGCACAAGGCAAAAGUUAUUCCUUCUGAGUUUGUAAAACAGCCGGAGAAGCUAAAGACAUUCACACCACUUAACUCCUCUGCUAGCACUGCACUUUUUUUUCUUCUUUAAAUAUUUAUGAUUCUGCUCAGCCAUAAGAUGUGCUGUGCAGGCAGCGGAUGGCACCAGCAGUUUUUUAUUGCUCCUUACUAUCUCUUGCUUUGUCCUCUUCUGUGGGAUAGUUCCAUAAUAAUCCAAGCAAAACCACUCUCCUGUGAGAGAUAUUGCCCGAGCUGAGCCAAGAGAAAGCUUUCCCUGCAAUCCCAUCCCCACUUGUCACCUUAAGCUCAGCCCUUCAUUUGUACAGCUGUGGUUUCAUCACAAUAUUACGACAGACGAAAGACAGCAAAGAAGUCUGCAUUCCAUCACAAUGUGAAUUCAGCACACGGUGGAGAUGUUGGUAUCCCAAGUGCAUGUUUUGAGCAAUGCAAUUCAACUUCAUGUUCAAAUGUGGCAACAGCCAACCACCAAUGGGCUCUUUAAGCUCCCCAUGCACUUAGAAAAGGAUUAUAUGGAUUAAUCAGGGGCCAGUCUAAAAUAAAUUAUAAGGCUUUAAAAUAGAUGAGAUGGUCUUAAAAAGCGCAGGAAAACUUUCUGCUAUUUCAAAGUUUGCUUUUAUUGGAAAGACAGAAAGCUUCAAGAAACACUUCAAACAAUGUAUCUACUGAAUGCCCUGAAAGGUCCUCCCGGUUAAUAUUCUACCAUCAAACUUCCCAGUAAGUGAAAAAUAGGACACUGCAAUGUUUCCAAAUACUUCUGCAGGAGGUUUUAUUUUACACCCUUGCAUCUAGUUUAAUUUUAUGUACUGAAAACUCAUGGGAAGUUGAGAUCCCUGAUAAUUUACACAUUCUGGAAGGAUGCCAUUAAAAAUAAAACCAAACCAAAUUUCUUAUCUAGCCAGACAGAAGAAUUUCAGCUACAGGAGGGCGGGAGGAGCAGUGCUCAGCCUGCCCAGUUACUGCUAAAUGCCCUGAAAUACUGAGGCGUUUUUAAGAGUAACCCUCAAGAAUUCCUAUCAAAAUUGUGUCCUAUAGGAAUCCAUAAAGCAGGUCGGAGAUUUUCAAAGUAAAUGGAAAGCACUAAUCCAAUUCACUUCUUUCCAUUAUCUCCCAAAUCAAAGCAUAGCACAGUGCCUUCUGAACGGCCUUCAAUACACAGCUGUAGUUCCCAACUUAAUUAAACCUCUAAUUGGGGCCGAAACAAAAGAGGCCUGUGUACACUAAAAAUCAGAACAUCUGAACUGAGCUAUGAAAACCACUGUAGGCAGGGCUUCUUUCUUCCUUUCAUCUCUACCCGAGUAUGACUUAUUCAGGUUCUCCUGGCACCAUUCAGCGAAGGCCAAAAGACACAACUGUGGUUUGAAAUUUCACUCAUUUUUUUCUGCUCUGCAUCACAGGCACAACCCCAGGCCAGAGGAUUUCUUUCCGCAAUAGGAACAAAAUUUCUGGAAAAUCAGAACAGAGUAAAUGAAGAUUAUCACUAACGGGACAAGUUACUUCACAUGCAGACAAAAAUUACAAGGAUUUAUGCUCCUUUGUUUUAAAGGGGCCAUGAAAAUUCCUUGAUUUCAAUGAAACAAGUGUUUAAUUACUUUCCUUUGCUCCUAAACCUGUGAAUUUUGGUUUUCAGAACCUUGUUUUUCAUGUAAGCAGCCUACAUUCAUUUGGGACACGGCCAGCACCACGUAUGAAAUACACGCAGACUAGAAAGCACUGACUCUUAACUCAUCAAUAAGUGCUGAGAUCCAAACCUGCACAGACAUUUUCCAGACUUUUCUUAACACCUAACUUACACUGCAGUAGGUGCAGUGAAUUCCCACUGGCUUGAAUGCUUGGGUGAACUCUACUAAGGAUCUAUCACCAUUUUAACCAUUUUAGGAAAGUGAAUCCAACCCUCAGGAGAAAAGGUCCCCCUGCAUCACCCUCUGCAAUUAAGAGAUCUGGGGGAUGGCCACCAAACAAAGGCAUCUUCCUGAACAGACCACUCUGAACUCACGGAUGGCAAUGCCAGCACUUCCCCGCAGCUCAGCGACAAGCUGUGGCUGCCUCCUGUUCUGCUGGGCUGAGGACUCAGCCAUCAGCAUCUCAGAAGGCGCCGGGCACAUCAGACUCUUGGGAUGCUACCAGAAUUUAUGAUAAAAAACCAACCAACAGACCAGUUGCAAUGCAAUUUGUGUUACUGGAACUGUUGCACUGUCACCUCAGAAGAGCCUUUCCAUUCGCUCACAAAGCCCGAACCCACAGGAAGCAGCAAUGCAGCUGUUGCACAUCUUCCUUCCAGCAAGACACAACACAACAACACAGUAGGACUGCUCAUCCUGAUUUCUAUCUGUCCAUCAUCAGGAGAAUCUCAAAGCACAAAUCCAGACGUCAAUUUGCAGUUGAGACAUUUGCCAAAUCACAGCCUUAAGCAGUUUCCUCUAUUUAUAAAAGCGGUAUUUAUACACAUUAACAUUUCUAGAGCAGAGGGCAGGGCAUAAGAUGCUACACAAGCGCUAUUAACCGCAGUGCAAACACAGCUCCACAUGGGCACAAUAGAGCCAUGCGUGGUGGAAUCUGGCCAACAUAAUUAAAACUUAAUGCCUACUUAACAAUCAAAUUGCAAACCUGCCAAAGUGCCACACGCUCCCCAACCUGUCAAAGAAACUGACUGAAGAUGCUGUGUUUACAUCAGCACUGUGGGACCGACUGCUUUUCCCAAGAGAUGAAACAGCUUUUAUUGGGUUACUGGAGUAAAAGGUGUUCAAAGACACCCCGCUUCUUUUGAGGGGUAUCUGUCUGAACACACUCAUUUCUCUACCGCACGUCUGUGUUAAUUGCAGUUAAAUUACUGUCAGGAGCGAUGCUGGAAACUUUACCUAUAAGAUGUCUUCAUUCAGACUUCUGAAGUUAACAUCUCUGUGACUUCUGUAACUUUCGCCUGGCUGCCAGAGGAAGAGCCUGAGCUAUGCAACACAGAUUAGGCAAUGCAUUUGGUUUUAUAGAAUGCAUUUUCAUAACAAAUCCUUCCUGUUACCGCUUCCGAUGGGAAACACAUAAAGCAGGCUUGAAAGAAUUCUGAGCUGUUCUACUGAGCCUUUUCCACACCUCACUGACCUAUCAUCACCUCUGUUGUGAUGGAGGCUAUACAAUUAUUCAGAAGCUGAUUUCAGGGCACACUGCAGUUGUAAUUGAACUCUACACCAUCAGCCCUUCCCACAGCUACAGAUGUUGUUUUCUGCUAAAAUCUUACUCGUUUCAGGACAUACAGCUCUACUUAAUGACAAUGGGGCACUCAUAGGCCAGACCUGCAUAGAGUACAGCAAGCAGCCUCGUUAUUAGGGGGCACGGAUCACCCUAGGACAAGCAUGCGCUUCCCAAGUGCUUCCAACACCUACAAACAAAGGCCUCAUUCUCCCUUUUGAGAGAAGAACCUUGCAGAGCUAUCCUGACACGCGUUAAUCACACGGGGACCGCGGCAAGAAAGCUUAAAAAGUUUAUCAGGAAAACUAAGCCAGAAAAAUACAUAUUGCUUUAUUCACUCUGCCCAAUUAAGAGCAGCCUCAGGGCAUUCAAUGGCCUUCUUUGUUCAUUGUUUGGCCUCCCCGCUGUUGUUGACAUACACUGGGAAACUACCAAGAAGCAACAGACAUUUAUCAUAAUUAUAUCACAACUUCGGGCCACGACCUAUAACCACGUUAACGCAGAUGCAAUCACUAACAAAUCUGUUGCUCACAGGCUGGGAGUAAGCUCGUGCUUAAGCCCGGAGCCCUGGGUGUUACACGGGGCAUUUGAUUACAUUUGGCUGCUUUUGAUGGAUGCCCCACUGGGCCGCCGCUGUGUGAGAACUGAAGAGCAGAAAGGACCCAGUGCUGCACUGCCACAGCUCUGCCCUCCUGGUGAGGGGGAAGGACAGCAGGGGAGCUCGGAGGGCAGCGAGGCACAGGGAUGAGGUACGGAGCUUAAGUCUGUUGGACGGCGCUACGACUCCUAUCGCAAGUAUUAUCUCCCCUUCCAGCGCAGCCAUAAACCCUAAACAAACAUUGCCGAGCGUGGGGGUUAACAACAGAGGGCACUGAAUAGUUGUUAUAGUAACCGAUGCUGUCAGCACCGCGACACCUGCGCUGCGUGCUCCGGGAACAGCCGCUCGGCCCCGUCCUGCGUGGGCACCCGGGCAGCCCCCACGGCACCACACCACGGCACCACACCACUGCCCCCGCAUUCUAAGA